CUGAAGGGCACAAGGCCCAAACUCUAGGCACCAAACGAAUUCAAUGCACAUACCAAAAUGCGUUCGAGCAACAACAAGUCCAUAAGCAGAAGUGGAAGAUCACGCUCACGUUUCCUAGGCUCUAGAAAUCUCAGUCGUGUUUCAACACCGCGGCUCACAUAUUCAUAUUCAAAAAUGGAUUCGACACAAAAACGAGUUGAAGAAACAUGGCUCAACGACUCACGUUCAACAUCUCAAACCGAUUCCUCAACGUGUGCGUGAAAAAACGGAAAAAUGAAUCGAAACCGAAUCGGAAAACUCACCGAGUUGAAGGGUUUUGUUGGUUUUGUUGUGAGUAACUUAGGAGCCUUAUUAAUCUGAUGAUGAAAUAGAUUUGGUUUGAUCUUUGCCAGUAUGAAGAUAAUCCUUGGACCCACCCGAAAUUGAUUUAACAAGGUGCACCACUUCACAAGGGUGCGCACUUCUGCACUGAUGUAUACCCAAUCACAAGGUGCACCACUUCACAAGGGUGCGCACUUCUGCACUGAUGUAUACCCAAUCACAAGGUGCGGCAAUGGAAAGCAAGGUAAAAAUCUUGGUUCAACAAAGGUAAUUUGACAUAGAAAUAUUAUUUUCAAUAUGAAGUCUUUGACUCUUAGUUUUGGUGCACUUGUCCUUGUCCCGUUUUGGACUGACUUAAUCUAUCUAUGCUCGUUCAAAUGGACCUGUCAUCCAAACCGAACUAGUUAGAAAUUAAUAGUUAGUGGUAAUUGUAUUAAUUAAUUUGAAGUGAAUUAGAAAGAAACUUAAUGGUGGAGAGAUUAAAUUCAAUAAGUUAUAUUGAGUAUGCUAAUUGAUGGCUUUGAAGAAUUAAUUAGAAAUCGAAUUGUUAGUCAGAACUUGGUUUGGAUUUAAGUUUUGAAAUUGGAAUGAAUGUUAAUGCCUUGGAUUCCAACUUGCAGAUAAAUGGAAUAUGCUCAACUGAACCGAGCCAAUUUAUUGGAAAGAAGAAUUUGGAUGGUUGCAAGUGCUUUGAACAUGUAGCUUGUAAUUGAAAUUGAAUUGUAACUUCGAAAUUUUUGUAAUUUUGGAUUGGAAUUUUGAAUGGAAAUGUGAAUAUGGAUUGGUUUAUAA
Long non-coding RNA from Lathyrus oleraceus (garden pea), 1113 nucleotides. RefSeq lists it as uncharacterized. The transcript has 2 exons. The record is from RefSeq and is a predicted model, not a curated record. Lineage: Eukaryota; Viridiplantae; Streptophyta; Magnoliopsida; Fabales; Fabaceae.